Molecule: long non-coding RNA, 1266 nt
Filed under: Zalophus californianus (California sea lion)
Lineage: Eukaryota; Metazoa; Chordata; Mammalia; Carnivora; Otariidae
Description: lncRNA (ENSZCAG00015011769.1)
Source: RNAcentral
AUGCGUGAGGUCUCUCAAUGUCCCUUUCAUCCCCAAAUCUCCAAUUCUUUGCUACUUUUACACGCAGUUCUUCCCCAGAGGAGCUUAUCCUUGCAGCUGAUCCUGGUCGAGGAGCUCCAGCAGACCUCGGUGAUGUGGCUUCACGGUCUAAACCUCCGAAUUCAAGAGCCAAUGGGAGAGCUGUCUAGCACAUUCUGUCAUUUUAGAGUGCCAUCUGCUGAUGGGAUAAGUAAGAUGAGACAAAAGAAAAGGAAGAAGAAGAUGAGAUGUUCUUUUUAUCUCUUCAAUCUGUUGAAGGAAGCACCUCCACUUAAAAACAUCUCUGUAGGGCGCCUGGGUGGCUCAGUCGGUUAAGCGACUGCCUUCGGCUCAGGUCAUGAUCCUGGAGUCCCGGGAUCGAGUCCCGCAUCGGGCUCCCUGCUCGGCGGGGAGUCGGCUUCUCCCUCUGACCCUCCCCCCUCUCAUGUGCGCUCUCUCUCUCUCAUUCUUUCUCUCAAAUAAAUAAAAUCUUUAAAAAAAAAUAAAAACAUUUCUGUAGAUGUUUUGUAGAUGAGAUAUUUCAUGGUGUUUGUUCCUGGCCCUGAAUAUCAAACCUAGUCUUGUCUUGUUUCUCCGUGAUUGUAUCUCUGACACUCAGCACCACAAGUCCCAGAACCUAUCAACCUAUCCAUGGCCAAAGAAAAGAUGAGGGCCAGCUCAUCAAAUUUCACCUAGACUCUCCUUUUAAGAAUGGCCAGAUUUUCUUAGACCUUCCUUAGAUUUCCACCAAGGCAGCAGCCAGGAGGCCCAGUGAGGCCUGGCUGGGACUGGCCACUCACAUGUUCCUUAGAGAGACUUCUGUAAUGUCAAAGGAAGAGUGACAUACUUGCAGUGAGAGGACCCGAGUGUGACUACCUGCCCUGUCAUACUCCAAUGUAGGCAAGUCACACACCAUGGCAUCCCAGGUUCCUCAUCUGUGAAGCAGAGGUGACAAGUACCUCGCAGAAAUCUUUUGAGAGGAUAAAAUGAGAUCAUGCUGGUAAAAUCACUGAACAACUAGAAUUAUAAUUUGCAGCUCUGAACUGGGAUGUGAAAACGCAUACAGGUCUUGUCUGUAAGCCUUUUAUUGUUUAAAUAAGAAUGUUUUUUAAAUGUGCUGGCCCUAGAUUUGAAAUAACCGAAACCUGACAAGCAGAGAAGAAAACCUUGAGAUAUCACAGGCAAAGAAGAGUCUGGGCUUGGCGAGGGCAUGAUGAUGUAUCCUGCAGAGAGAUGCGGGGAACGAGG